This 1191-nucleotide ribosomal RNA is filed under the name Triticum aestivum (bread wheat). RNAcentral's name for it is "partial small subunit ribosomal RNA". The record is from RNAcentral. Lineage: Eukaryota; Viridiplantae; Streptophyta; Magnoliopsida; Poales; Poaceae.
AUGGCCGCCACCGGCACCAGCCAGCAGCAGCCGGCGGCGGCGUCGGUGGACCCCAAGUUCGAGUGGGCGGAGAAGGCCGGCACCUACGUGCUCCGCCUCACACUGACGGGCUUCAAGAAGGAGGACUUCCGGGUGCAGGUGGACGGUGCCGGGAGGCUCACCGUGCGCGGCACCAGGCCGGGCGCCUCCCUCCACAAGGUCUUCCAGCUGCCCGCAACCGCCAGCCUCGACGACAUCGCCGGCCGCUUCGAGGCCGGCGUGCUCACGCUCACCGUGCCCAAGCGCGCCGGCACGGCCCCACCGACGAGCAUCGAGGAAGUCAAGAAGAGUAAACCUGCUGCCGCCAAGGAGGAGAACGCCAAGCCGACGCCACCCGCACAGGUCGACGGCGCCAAGAGCAUGCCCGCCAAGCCGACGCCACCCACAGAGGUCGACGGCGACAAGAAGAUGCCCAGGGAGGAGGGUGCUGCCAAGCUGACGCCACAAGCGGAGGUCGAUGGCGCCAAGAAGAUGUCCAAGGAGGAGGGUGCCGCCAAGCCACCGCCGCCGCCAGCCUCCCACCAGCUGCCAUCCAAGGACGGCGGGGCUGGAAAGAAGGAGACCAAGGGCGCCAAGCAGCCGGCUGCCAGGGACGACGGCGGCGAGAAGAAGGAAGCCGUCGUUGGCACUGAGCCCAAGGAGAGCACGCUCGGCAGGACGACACGUCAGGUCGCGGAGCAUGUUCACCGCAUGGAGGAGGAGAGCAGACGCAAGCAAAUUGAGCAUAAGCCGGCGCCGGCGGCGAAGAAGGAAGAAGACGUGAAGCCCAAGGCACCCCAGCCAGCAGCAGCCACGGCGACACCGGAGAAGCCAGCGCCGAAGGCAGAGGUUGCCAACGGCGAGAAGGCCAAGGCGGCGGUUGAUCCGGAGAGCCUGGUGGAGACGACGAGGCGGCGCGGCAAGGAAGAGAGGGCCAAGGCUGCUGCCGCGGCGACGGCCAUAGAAGGAAAAGCGGAAAAGGCGAAGAAGGCGGUGGCGUCGACAUGCACGGCCUGGAAGGAGCGCAUCGCCGGGGAGCUCAAGGGGCUGACGGACAUGAAGUGGGCGGACAACGCGGUGGAGACGGCGAGGAAGAACAAGGAGGUGGUCGCCAUCGGCGUCGCCGCCUUCUCCAUCGGCUUCCUCGUCUCCCAGAAGCUCUUCAGGAAGUGA